RNAcentral lists this ribosomal RNA (457 nucleotides) under uncultured bacterium. RNAcentral's name for it is "partial 16S ribosomal RNA". It matches the Rfam family "Bacterial small subunit ribosomal RNA", at positions 338 to 795 of the family's 1533-position model. The record is from RNAcentral.
CCUACGGGAGGCAGCAGUGGGGAAUAUUGCACAAUGGGGGAAACCCUGAUGCCGCGACGCCGCGUGAGUGAAGAAGUAUUUCGGUACGUAAAGCUCUAUCAGCAGGGAAGAAAAAAAGUCCUUUGGACUUUGGACGGUACCUGACCAAGAAGCCCCGGCUACCUACGUGCCAGCAGCCGCGGUAAUACGUAGGGGGCAAGCGUUAUCCGGCGUUACGGGGUGUAAAGGGAGCGUAGACGGCAGGGCAAGUCUGGAGUGAAAUGCCGGGGCCCAACCCCGAAACUGCUUUGGAAACUGGGCAGCUGGAGUGCAGGAGAGGUAAGCGGAAUUCCUAGUGUAGCGGUGAAAUGCGUAGAUAUUAGGAAGAACACCAGUGGCGAAGGCAGCUUACUGGACUGUAACUGACGUUGAGGCUCGAAAGCGUGGGUAGCAAACAGGAUUAGAUACCCCUGUAGUC